UAAGGAAUAUUGGUCAAUGGACGCAAGUCUGAACCAGCCAUGCCGCGUGAAGGAUGAAGGUCCUCUGGAUUGUAAACUUCUUUUAUCUGGGACGAAAACGGGAUUUUUAUCUCAAUUGACGGUACCAGAGGAAUAAGCACCGGCUAACUCCGUGCCAGCAGCCGCGGUAAUACGGAGGGUGCGAGCGUUAUCCGGAUUUACUGGGUUUAAAGGGUGCGUAGGUGGGCUUAUAAGUCAGUGGUGAAAUCUCCGAGCUUAACUUGGAAACUGCCGGUGAUACUAUAGGUCUUGAAUUAUCUGGAGGUAAGCGGAAUAUGUCAUGUAGCGGUGAAAUGCUUAGAUAUGACAUAGAACACCAAUUGCGAAGGCAGCUUACUACAUAUAAAUUGACGCUGAGGCACGAAAGCGUGGGGAUC
RNAcentral lists this ribosomal RNA (416 nucleotides) under uncultured bacterium. RNAcentral's name for it is "bacterial SSU rRNA". It matches the Rfam family "Bacterial small subunit ribosomal RNA", at positions 355 to 769 of the family's 1533-position model. The record is from RNAcentral.